GCCUGGUGGCUCAGAUGGUAAAGCGUCUGCUUGUAAUGUGGGAGACCCAGGUUCGAUCCCUGGGUUGGGCA
Molecule: transfer RNA, 71 nt
Organism: Ovis aries (sheep)
Lineage: Eukaryota; Metazoa; Chordata; Mammalia; Artiodactyla; Bovidae
Rfam family: tRNA
About the family: Transfer RNA (tRNA) molecules are approximately 80 nucleotides in length. Their secondary structure includes four short double-helical elements and three loops (D, anti-codon, and T loops).
Source: Rfam